RNAcentral lists this unclassified non-coding RNA (269 nucleotides) under fungal sp. Its description in RNAcentral is "partial internal transcribed spacer region". The stretch from base 1 to 46 matches the Rfam family "Eukaryotic small subunit ribosomal RNA", at positions 1786 to 1831 of the family's 1831-position model. Lineage: Eukaryota; Fungi. The record is from RNAcentral.
AAGUCGUAACAAGGUUUCCGUAGGUGAACCUGCGGAAGGAUCAUUACCGAAUUCAACUGUUGUGUUGAUCGCAACUAAGCGAGCCAGCGCGACGUGGUUCACGUCGUGCGAGGGAGCGCCCUUGCAGGCGCUCCAGCGCCGUUCCCCGCUCCGGCGGGAGCUCGUCCACGCUGGUGGAGAAAGAACGGACCCGGUGCUUGCACCAACCCAUCUGUGCUUGAAAAGGAACCCAAAUGCAGUACAACUGCAAACGGUGGAUCACUCGGCUC